AGAAUUUCAGAUUUUGCAACAUGAGAGUCUGAAAGACAGGCCAACACAGGCGGCUCUUUGGAAACAAGAGACCUGGUACUUCCAACAGCCAAAAAGCUGGCCAAACACCAGGAUGAGGGGAAAGACAUAUCAGGUGUCUUCAGUUUGAGUCUUCUUGUCUUUGUUUCCUGUCUUGGAGCUCUGAGCCCUGCUGCGGAAGGGAGUUUAUUCACCAGCACAGGCAUUGUGAGAAGGUUUACAUAACUAUAAUGAUGAGUAAAUGUGAUGACACAGAAAAACUGUGUCAGGGACAUUAAAAUUGAAAGAAACAAGCUAACAUUUCUUAGUACUUAAGAGAGAGAGAGUGAGAGAGCACAUGCGUGAUGUGCAUGAGCAGAGGAACGGGCAGAGGGAG
Canis lupus familiaris (dog) is the source of this 394-nucleotide long non-coding RNA. RefSeq lists it as uncharacterized. The record is from RefSeq and is a predicted model, not a curated record. NCBI's taxonomy places the organism in Eukaryota, Metazoa, Chordata, Mammalia, Carnivora, Canidae. The transcript is spliced from 4 exons.